AUUGAACGCUGGCGGCAUGCCUUACACAUGCAAGUCGAACGGCAGCACGGGAGCAAUCCUGGUGGCGAGUGGCGAACGGGUGAGUAAUAUAUCGGAACGUGCCCAGUCGUGGGGGAUAACGUAGCGAAAGCUACGCUAAUACCGCAUACGAUCUAUGGAUGAAAGCGGGGGAUCGCAAGACCUCGCGCGAUUGGAGCGGCCGAUAUCAGAUUAGGUAGUUGGUGAGGUAAAGGCUCACCAAGCCGACGAUCUGUAGCUGGUCUGAGAGGACGACCAGCCACACUGGGACUGAGACACGGCCCAGACUCCUACGGGAGGCAGCAGUGGGGGAAUUUUUGGACAAUGGGCGCAAGCCUGAUCCAGCAAUGCCGCGUGCAGGAUGAAGGCCUCGGUUGGUUAACGUUAG
This 406-nucleotide ribosomal RNA is filed under the name uncultured bacterium. RNAcentral describes it as "bacterial SSU rRNA". It matches the Rfam family "Bacterial small subunit ribosomal RNA", at positions 30 to 436 of the family's 1533-position model. The record is from RNAcentral.